CCCUGGCAUCUCCAUAGCUCAGUCAGUAAAGCAACAGACUCUUAAUCUCAGGGUUGUGAGUUCAAGCCCCAUGUUGGGCU
Non-coding RNA from Podarcis lilfordi (Lilford's wall lizard), 80 nucleotides. NCBI's taxonomy places the organism in Eukaryota, Metazoa, Chordata, Lepidosauria, Squamata, Lacertidae. The record is from the annotation of a GenBank genome assembly.